CCUACGGGAGGCUGCAGUCGAGAAUCAUUCACAAUGGGGGAAACCCUGAUGGUGCGACGCCGCGUGGGGGAAUGAAGGUCUUCGGAUUGUAAACCCCUGUCAUGUGGGAGCAAAUUAAAAAGAUAGUACCACAAGAGGAAGAGACGGCUAACUCUGUGCCAGCAGCCGCGGUAAUACAGCGGUCUCAAGCGUUGUUCGGAAUCACUGGGCGGAAAGCGUGCGUAGACUGUUUCGUAAGUCGUGUGUGAAAGGCGCGGGCUCAACCCGCGGACGGCACAUGAUACUGCGAGACUAGAGUAAUGGAGGGGGAACCGGAAUUCUCGGUGUAGCAGUGAAAUGCGUAGAUAUCGAGAGGAACACUCGUGGCGAAGGCGGGUUCCUGGACAUUAACUGACGCUGAGGCACGAAGGCCAGGGGAGCGAAAGGGAUUAGAUACCCUGGUAGUC
Molecule: ribosomal RNA, 446 nt
Filed under: uncultured bacterium
Lineage: Bacteria
Description: partial 16S ribosomal RNA
Rfam family: Bacterial small subunit ribosomal RNA
Source: RNAcentral